RNAcentral lists this ribosomal RNA (275 nucleotides) under uncultured bacterium. RNAcentral describes it as "partial 16S ribosomal RNA". It matches the Rfam family "Bacterial small subunit ribosomal RNA", at positions 338 to 610 of the family's 1533-position model. The record is from RNAcentral.
CCUACGGGGGGCUGCAGUGAGGAAUAUUGGUCAAUGGACGGAAGUCUGAACCAGCCAUGCCGCGUGCAGGAUGACGGCCCUAUGGGUUGUAAACUGCUUUUAUUCGGGAAUAAACCUCUUUACGAGUAGGGAGCUGAAGGUACCGAAUGAAUAAGCACCGGCUAACUCCGUGCCAGCAGCCGCGGUAAUACGGAGGGUGCAAGCGUUAUCCGGAAUCAUUGGGUUUAAAGGGUCCGCAGGCGGAUAUAUAAGUCAGUGGUGAAAUCCUGCAGCUU